GAUGAAGAACGUAGCGAAAUGCGAUAAGUAAUGUGAAUUGCAGAAUUCAGUGAAUCAUCGAAUCUUUGAACGCACAUUGCGCCCCUUGGUAUUCCGAGGGGCAUGCCUGUUCGAGCGUCAUUAUAACCCCUCAAGCUCAGCUUGGUGUUGGGGCCUGCUGCACUGGCAGCCCUUAAAAUCAGUAGCGGCGCCAUCUGGCUCUAAGCGUAGUAAUUCUUCUCGCUAUGGAGUCCUGGUGGAUGCUUGCCAUCAACCCCCAAUUUUUCUAUGGUUGACCUCGGAUCAGGUAGGGAUACCCGCUGAACUUAAGCAUAUCAAUAAGCGGAGGA
This 329-nucleotide unclassified non-coding RNA is filed under the name soil metagenome. Its description in RNAcentral is "partial contains 5.8S ribosomal RNA, internal transcribed spacer 2, and large subunit ribosomal RNA". The stretch from base 1 to 120 matches the Rfam family "5.8S ribosomal RNA", at positions 35 to 154 of the family's 154-position model. The record is from RNAcentral.